GCCUCGGUAGCUCAGUCUGCAGAGCGCGUGCCUUUUAAGCCCGCGGCCGCGGGUUCGAACCCCGCCCGAGUGCG
Molecule: non-coding RNA, 74 nt
Organism: Perkinsus marinus ATCC 50983
Lineage: Eukaryota; Perkinsozoa; Perkinsida; Perkinsidae
Source: Rfam